RNAcentral lists this long non-coding RNA (433 nucleotides) under Gossypium barbadense (sea-island cotton). Its description in RNAcentral is "long non-coding RNA (GBAR_LNC010691)". The record is from RNAcentral. Lineage: Eukaryota; Viridiplantae; Streptophyta; Magnoliopsida; Malvales; Malvaceae.
UGCCUUAUUUGAUUGGUGGGGAAUUUUGGAUAGGGUUUAGUCUUAUUUUUUCUUUUCUGAGAGAUCGUGUUCUUGUUACUGCCCUGCCAUAAGAGCAUUGAGGUUGUCACAGGUCAACAACAAGGGGUUCGAUUUUUGACUCUAUACCCUUCUUUUGGCUGACGUGCCCCCCUUUGUGUGCUUUCGCCCUCUCAACAUUGCCGCCCUUAGAUCUAAGGGAAGACAAGCAUAUAGUUUCCCUAAAAGAAGGGUCAAUCCAUUUAAGCGCAAGAUACUACCUAACGUUGGAGGACAUAGACUGAGCAGUGUCUUCGGGGUUUAUCGUAAAUAAGGUAAGGUAAGAUUGGUUUGAACUAGCAUAUGGGCAGAGUUGAGCACCGAGUCCUUAGCAAUAUACUGCCCAGUGUGUAGGAGAAGGAUGUUGUCGACGCUU